CGUAGGUGGCAAGCGUUGUCCGGAGUUACUGGGUGUAGAGGGCGUGUAGGCGGGAAGGUAAGUCAGAUGUGAAAUUCCAUGGCUCAACUGUGGCGCUGCAUCUGAAACUAUCUUUCUUGAGUGAUGGAGAGGAAAGUGGAAUUCCUAGUGUAGCGGUGAAAUGCGUAGAUAUUAGGAGGAACACCAGUGGCGAAGGCGACUUUCUGGACAUUAACUGACGCUGAGGCGCGAAAGCGUGGGGAGCAAACAGGAUUAGAUACCCUGGUAGUCCACGCUGUAAACGAUGGAUACUAGGUGUAGGAGGUAUCGACCCCUUCUGUGCCGGAGUUAACACAAUAAGUAUCCCACCUGGGGAGUACGGCCGCAAGGUUG
This 372-nucleotide ribosomal RNA is filed under the name uncultured organism. RNAcentral's name for it is "bacterial SSU rRNA". It matches the Rfam family "Bacterial small subunit ribosomal RNA", at positions 526 to 896 of the family's 1533-position model. The record is from RNAcentral.